This 253-nucleotide ribosomal RNA is filed under the name uncultured bacterium. RNAcentral describes it as "partial 16S ribosomal RNA". It matches the Rfam family "Bacterial small subunit ribosomal RNA", at positions 524 to 776 of the family's 1533-position model. The record is from RNAcentral.
UACGAAGGGGGCUAGCGUUGUUCGGAAUUACUGGGCGUAAAGCGUGCGCAGGCGGUCUGCUAAGACUGAUGUGAAAUCCCCGGGCUUAACCUGGGAACUGCGUUUCUAACUGGCAGGCUUGAGUGUGGCAGAGGGGGGUGGAAUUCCACGUGUAGCAGUGAAAUGCGUAGAGAUGUGGAGGAACACCGAUGGCGAAGGCAGCCCCCUGGGCUAACACUGACGCUCAUGCACGAAAGCGUGGGGAGCAAACAGG